Molecule: ribosomal RNA, 199 nt
Filed under: uncultured bacterium
Lineage: Bacteria
Description: partial 16S ribosomal RNA
Rfam family: Bacterial small subunit ribosomal RNA
Source: RNAcentral
ACGCUCGACACCUACGGGAGCAGCAGUCGGGAAUAUUGCGCAAUGGAGGAAACUCUGACGCAGUGACGCCGCGUGCAGGAAGAAGGUUUUCGGAUUGUAAACUGCUUUAGACAGGGAAGAACAAAUGACAGUACCUGUAGAAUAAGCUCCGGCUAACUACGUGUCAGCAGCCGCGGUAAUCUGAGCGGGCUGGCAAGGC